This 376-nucleotide ribosomal RNA is filed under the name uncultured eukaryote. Its description in RNAcentral is "partial 18S ribosomal RNA". It matches the Rfam family "Eukaryotic small subunit ribosomal RNA", at positions 592 to 976 of the family's 1831-position model. The record is from RNAcentral.
CAAUAGCGUAUAUUAAAGUUGUUGCAGUUAAAAAGCUCGUAGUUGAAUUUUGGAUUUGUUUGCAGGGUCUCUUCGAAAGAGGAGCACUUUGUGAAUGGGUCUUGUUUGUAGUGAACCCAUGUGUCAUUUACUUGGUGUGCGGUGGAACUACAGGUUUACUUUGAAAAAAUUAGAGUGUUUAAGGCAAGUAUCGCUUGAAUACAUUAGCAUGGAAUAAUAGAAUAGGACUUUGGUUCUAUUUUGUUGGUUUCUAGGACCAAGGUAAUGAUUAAUAGGGAUAGUUGGGGGCAUUAGUAUUUCAUUGUCAGAGGUGAAAUUCUUGGAUUUAUGAAAGACUAACUUGUGCGAAAGCAUCUGUCCAGAAUGUUUUCAUUAA